This is a long non-coding RNA of Eriocheir sinensis (Chinese mitten crab), 631 nucleotides long. RefSeq lists it as uncharacterized. The transcript has 5 exons. NCBI's taxonomy places the organism in Eukaryota, Metazoa, Arthropoda, Malacostraca, Decapoda, Varunidae. The record is from RefSeq and is a predicted model, not a curated record.
CCAGGUUUAGGUUAUUGAGAAUUAGUUUGGUUCCAGGUUUAGGUUAUUGAGAAUUAGUGUGGUUCCAGGUUUAGGUUAUUGAGAAUUAGUGUGGUUCCAGGUUUAGGUUAUUGAGAAUUAGUGUGGUUCCAGGUUUAGGUUAUUGAGAAUUAGUUUGGUUCCAGGUUUAGGUUAUUGAGAAUUAGUUUGGUUCCAGGUUUAGGUUAUUGAGAAUUAGUGUGGUUCAAGGUUUAGGUUAUUGAGAAUUAGUUUGGUUUAAGGUUUAGGUUAUUGAGAAUUAGUGUGGUUCAAGGUUUAGGUUAUUGAGAAUUAGUGUGGUUCAAGGUUUAGGUUAUUGAGAAUUAGUGUGGUUCAAGGUUUAGGUUAUUGAGAAUUAGUGUGGUUCAAGGUUUAGGUUAUUGAGAAUUAGUUUGGUUCAAGGUUUAGGUUAUUGAGAAUUAGUUUGGUUCCAGGUUUAGGUUAUUGAGAAUUAGUUUGGUUCCAGGUUUAGGUUAUUGAGAAUUAGUUUGGUUCAAGGUUUAGGUUAUUGAGAAUUAGUUUGGUUUAAGGUUCAAGUUAGGCUUCGUUUAGUUUGGUCUAACCCCUAAAGGACGGCUGACGGAAAUACCUGCUCGGGCAGAGAAAGGCGGGG